RNAcentral lists this long non-coding RNA (15965 nucleotides) under Fragaria vesca (wild strawberry). RNAcentral's name for it is "long non-coding RNA (FVES_LNC000564)". Lineage: Eukaryota; Viridiplantae; Streptophyta; Magnoliopsida; Rosales; Rosaceae. The record is from RNAcentral.
GGAAUAGGAUGGUUCACUGAUAAGAUCUGAGGGUUUAGGAGAGCUUUAGGAUUGGGGGCUAUGAAGUAUGAAGCUUUGGGUGGGGAAGUAUGAACCUGAGUGUAUUAAAGUUGAAAGCUUUGGGCUAUACACUGGCUGCCAUAUUUAAACGACAAUGCAGCUUUUUUUCUACAGAGAGACAAAAAAGCUGAUAGAGAGAGAAGCUUCAAUGGCUUUCUUUUUCUUUCAGAGAGAGAGAGAGAGUGAAAAAGGAAGAAGCUUUUCUCAGAGAGAGAGGAAGUCACCGAGUGAGGGGAGUGUGACUUGUUUAAUAUAGUGAGAGGGGGCAGUAUUACCUGCGCACCCCGGCUUAUUUUAGCAUUUUUGGACUAAGUGAGUAAGUGCGCAGUCCUUAGCCUACGCAGGGUGCGCAUGUUAGAGGAGGUUUGUGAUUGAGAGUGUGAAAGAGAGGAAAGGUAGGAACCAAGAUGGAGGGCACAAAGCCUCGAAGGGAAAAGGGGAAGGGAGUUUGGUACUUUGGUUAUGUGGGUGGGAAUGUUAUUGAGGUUUAUAUAUAUUUUUGGAAACGAAUUGUGAGCCAAUUUGGGGUAUUGAGUACACUUUCUAGGUAGCGUCCUUGAUGGCAAACAACAUGAUGCCCAUGUGAGGAAAAUGAUCCUUAUCUUGCCCUCUAUUUUCAAGGAUACACUCCCCACUCUAUUUGCCUCACCCAAAAAAAAGUACCAUGGUCCGUCCCUCUCCAUGUCCAACAAAAAAAAUGUCAUUUUUCUUCAUUGGGAUAUUUGAAUGUUUCAUAAGUCGAUAAUUUAGUGUUUUUUUUCUUUUUUUUUUUUAUUAACUCGCUUUGAGAGUUCUUUUGUGUUGUUGUGUGUAACUUUGUUGGAACAAUGUCAUAUAUAUCAAGACAAUUUCAAAGGUUUAAAAUGUCGAUUAUAGAGACAAAUACGCAUAUAUUUUUUGUAUUUUAAGAGGAAUUGAGAUAUAUGAUAUACUAAUUUUUUUUUUAUUAUACUAAUUCUUCAUUUUCUUGUCACUCGUCUCAUUUUAACUUCUUUCAGGUAAUUCAUGAAACAAAAGGUUUUAGCCUUACUGUUGAGUUUCAUCAAAACUGGAGUUGAGGAAGUAAACGAUAUAAAAAUGUAACGUAAUAGUUGUAUUUAGCCACUGCUAAUGCUUGUAAGAUUAAGUUUUAGUUAGACCCUUUUGCUCGAAAGAAAAAAAAAAUUGCUUAGCUCCUCCUUUACUAAGCCUCUCUGUCUCACUCCCUCAUAGUCUUUUAGAAUGUAUAUGAGUUAUUCAGGCUUUUACAAACAUUUUCUAGUACAUUUUGAGCAACACACAAAAAGUUGUUCAAGACUUUAACUUCGAAUGUAAAUUUUACUAUAAACAAUAACUAUCGUGAAUUCUGAUUUUCUUUGAAGAAUGUGACUUGAUUUUAGCCUAGUUUCUUCUUCUUUGUUUGGGAAACACCAAGUUUGAAUAUUUAUCAAGGUUUGAAACUUGGUAGGCGUAGGACAGAGGACAGGCUUGGAGCGCUUAAGCAGCUAGGCGGUCUUCUAGUACCUCUAGAUGGAUUUGUUUUACUUUGUAAUUUAUUUUAAAUUUAAUUUAUAAUUACAAAUAUAUAAGACUUAAAGAGUAACAAAUUUGCAUUCAUAAUAUUAAAAUUUUAAAAUAGCCCUAACAAAUAACAAAUAAAAGGCCGUCUAGGCGGCCGCCUAACCACUCUGAUUACACAUUCCUCUCUCCCGUCGCCAAGCACCUAGGCAAGCUGCCCACCGCACAAACGAGUUUCAAAACAUUAAUAUUUAUGAAUAAGAUUGAAUCAUAUUAGCUCUCACAUUUAUUACUAAAAUUAAGGAAAGGAAUUUGGAUAAGAAUUAUAGACUUGAAAGAGAUAAGAAAUGUUGUUUGCCAUCGAGUGCCAUUCAUUCAAGCACGAUGAUAAUGCUUCCAUAAUCCAUAGAGAGCCAAAAUCUGGUUCACCGAUUUGGUGAAGGUGUGCCCAAGUGUUGGCUCCUCCUUUGUUUUCAUGACAUAUUUAUGAAGUAGCCUUUUGUUGCAUUGCACCAGCUAGACAUCAUUUUUCGAAUCCCAUUAUUUGUGUUUUAACAGUGCGAUCUUGGGUGAUUAUUGUCAUUGAUUCAUAAUCAUUUUCUCAUUUUCCUUUUGCCUUCUAUUGCAUUCAGUUCUCAUGAAGAUCUAUAAUGGAGUAAGGCCAAGACCAAAUUUACUAGCCAUGAAGACAAGCAAACAAAAUAGGAUUGGAAAUAAAUAAGGAACAAAAUGAUCAAUAUGGUUUCGAUUUUCGAUUUUUUAUUUUUUUUUGCAAUCAAUCAUUAACAAUGGAGGUCAUUUGUUUUUUCUCUCUAACAUAUCUCAUGAUCUUUUAUUUAAAAGAUUCAAUUUGUCGGAAGUUACCCAAAAGGGUUUUACCCAAUUCACUAUCAACACAUAGUGGGCAUCAACAAUAUAUGUUUGAUUAGUUUAUUACAAUUACAGGUGGAUUUACUUCUUUUGAUAAGUGGGAUUUACACUUGUAACUUGUUUAAUAACUUUAACACUAGGUUUCUGAUUUACUGUUGAGGUCGAGGUAGUUGAAUGAUCUUAUUUACACCUAAAUCUAAAUAUUUCUCGAAUUAAUUUCGCAUCAUCAUUUCAUCACUAAAAUAUGCAAGAAAGAUAAAAACAAAGCUAGCUGACAGUAGUGUGGUGUCAGCCAAAAGAUCCACAUCACAAUUUACUUCAUGUUGCAUUUAUGAUGCUCUUCAUUUCAUGUUGAGCUUCAACCUACUGUAUUAACUUCAAGGUGUAAGUAAGGUCACUGUAGUUGACUCAGAUCGAAUCUAGCUAGCGUAAUAUAUAGAUAAUUAUGAUGCAAAAAUGUUUUAAUCUGCUCAGUUUAUAUUGUUGACGAUUUGAAAUGGUUAUACGAUACGUUUACUUAUGAUUUUAAAACAGUACUUAACUUAGAUAAUUCGUAAAACUAGACGUAUUUGAGAUUUGUUUGAAGAUCUUGUUUGAAUAAUGAAAUAAAAGUUGUCCUGAGGGUUCCCACUCACCUACAACAACAUUAAGAAAUAUGUUAAAGUUAUAUUCAAGUUGCAGAUCUAGAUUCCAAAAGCCACCUUUCUAUAGCUUUCUUUGCUCUUUCUUUCUUGAUAGAGAGUUGGGAACCAAAAUCAUCCUAAGCUGAUCUUGUAGCUUAGCUUUUUACUAACAUGUAAUCCAGCACCAUCAAGCUAGAUGACUUGUUAGUCUCCCAUGUCAUGAGUAGUUGUUUGAUACCUCAGGUCAAUAUUGACGGACGAUAAUGUGUGGAAAAUCUAAUUUGAAUCCAAUGUUUUAACAUUAUGGAUUAUGUGACACUAGUGGCCAUUAGAUUAGUAAACCAACCUAAUUACUAAAAUUACAAAAGCAGUCGCAGCCAGAGAAAAAUGAGUGUGUGUGUUUCUUCUUGGAGGUUUGUCAAUUUGUCAAAGCCUCUCUCCAUACUCAUUGUGGCCCUAACAAAUCGAGUGAGAGGGAAUCCAAUGAUGACUCUGAUUUCAUAUUACUUUGGAUUAAUCCAAAUUUCUUAUGCAUGAUGAUUAUCAUUAUUAAUGAAAUAUUUCUGCCAUGAAAUGUAUGUAUUUCAAUCCCUACUUGAUCAUCUCAACCACAUUAUUGAUCAGUAUAUGGACGUAUCAUUUAUUUUUUCCUCCAUUUUCUUUUGUUUUUAUAGCAUACUACAUAUAGUAUUACUGCAAACGGCCUAAUGGUUUUUGUAUAGUUGGGCUAGUGCAAUUCUAAAUCUGGGUUCGAACCUUGAAACAAUCAAAGUGGUCAAACACUGUAUUGUAUUGCAAUGUAUUGUUAAAGCAUUUCACAUGCGCUCAUAUAUGAACAAAUAACUCUUAGUCAAAACCUUCUUAUUGAUUCUGAAACGUAUUAAAAACUAGAAUCUACAACCCUAAUGAUUCUUACUUUUACUAUUGAUUAGUUUACCUUCACAAUUGGCGCCACAUAAUUUGUUCAAAACUUCAAAUUGAUAGUCAAGGGGUUAACCGGUCAACCAUAUAAUGAAGGAUCCCGAUCAGAAACAGAAUAAUGUUAAUUUACUGCUCUUAAGUCUGAUUGUGUUCGACGAUCAUUAAGCACUGAGAUAAACUUAAAUAACCAUAUAUAUCAUUAGGACUGAUAACAGUCCAAGCCCCAUGAUACAAAAAUCUCUGGAAAAAGUUACUCUUUACCUUUCCAAGUUUGCUUGUAACUUUUGGAGAGUAUAUAAUGAUUUCUGGGAAACCUAAUUAUCAAGCAGAGGGUAUUGACCAUAUAGACAUGUCAGCAUCAUGAAAUUUCGAAAUGAUACUGCUGUAUCAAACAUGGAGAAGUCAAAGACGAUGUGUAUCAAUAAACUGAGUUACGUGAGGAAAAAGUAAUUGCCCACCCACCAAAGUAAGGUACAACUUGGUUUAGGGCCACAGGUAAAAAUUUGGUAGGAUUAGAAUAUAUGGGAGACUGUAAUCUUUAUGUAUCCAACUUGUGCAAUUGGAAGAUAAGGUGGAUUUAGUAGCAGUUCUCAUUUAUAAGUUACUCGAAGUUAGUUGACUACAAAAAAUAGAAAUAAAAAUAGUUAUUAAAAGUUUAUACAUUAAACCCUAGCCUAACCUAGCCAGUUUGAAAGCUAGUUUAAACUUUAAAGCAUCGAACCCUAAGCAAAAUAGGGGUCACAAAAUAAUCAAUCCAUAAACCUACUUCUUGAAAACGAAGAAGAGUUCGGUUUCUCCGCAACUAUACGAGCUUUGUAUGUGUAUUAACAAUGUUUGCUUUACAAUUUAACGAAUCAACUGUGAUAUUAGAUUUCUCGUAUCACAUUUCUUUUUGAUUGAAUUUACGCAUAUUUGGAGAGAUGCUAAUGAAUCGGUAUCAAUAAGAAUUAGUAUCAAUAAGAAUCAAUAUCAACAAGAAUUGGUAUAAGAAUAUAUAUUUCAUUUCAUUUUAUAGUUUACUUAUCAUAAACAAUCAAAACAUGAAUGAAACUAAUUACGAUUGAUGUUGUUUACUUAUCAUAUGAAAUCAGAAUUAAAACUAUUUUUAUUACUAAAGUAUCUCUACAAGAAAGGAAAUUGUUUGCUAUUUUUUAGGGUUAGGUAAUUUAGAAAUAUUAUAAUUAUGUGAGGAUAUUUUGAGAAGAAAGAGUUGAUUCCAUAAUAUUGAUUAUGUCAUUCUUAUACCCAUCUCCCCUAAAUUAGGGGUUCAUAAGGAAUUGAUUUUCCAUAAGCAAGUGAGACUCACACCCAAUCUAAUAUAUAUAUAUAUAUAUAUAUUUUUUUUUUUGGAUAAAAAGGGGCCAGAACAAACAAAUAAAGGCUAAGUAGCAGCAGCUACAUUUCUAACUUUAACAGAAUCACACAAAUACCCAUUCAAAUACAUUGACAUAUUAGUAAACGACGAAAUUCAUCAAUCCUGAAAUCAAUUCAGCCACUCUCAAUUUUCUAUUUGAGGUUAGUAACAUGCCAUUAGUAAAUUCCUUUUUUAGUCACAACGUUUGUCGCGUCCAUGGGUCGACCCGAUUUAUCUAUCCAGGAACAUAAAACCGGGUCCAAAUAAUUCUAAAACCUUCCAUAACCGCGCCCCUUCACUCCUCCCCUGAGGUCCAUUUCCUUAAUUUCGCACAAAAACCAAUGGCGUCUUCAGCGUCCGGAUCGUCUCCGUCGCGCACAUCCCUGGCCUCGAUGAUAUCUCCUACAGUAGCUUCCACUGUAAGAUUUCCCUAUACACCUCCUGAAAUGACGCCGUUUUCCACUCUAUUCGCUCAGAUUUUCACAUGCGCCUCACUCUCAGUUGUUUUUAUGGAAUCUAAUAGUUCAUUGUGACAAGUAUGAGUGUGAGGGAGUGAAGGUUUUGGUUUAAUUAUGGUUUUCUGUUUUUAAUUUUUAUUUGUUUCCAAUUUGAUCAACUUGGUAGUUUUUGAUUUAAGCAAUACUAUUUCUUACGAGUUGUAACUAGAGUAACUAAUCUUGACUAGGAAAUCUAUAGAGAAUUUGGAACGGGGACAAAGUUCCAGAAUAGAGAACUGAAGCUUAGAUAACAAGUAUUAUAAUUCUGUGAGCUCAAUCGAGACUAGACGAUAAAUUCAUUGUCAAGGAAGUUACAGAUAUGGUUAAUGGUGUGUUUAUCUACAUGGGGUUCUUGAAAGGAAAUCCGUAGAGAAUUUGAAAUCAAUAAACACUCCUUCUGUUGCAUCCAUGACCGAUCCCUGCGCCUCAUGAUCACUUAAUUUCAGAUUUGUUUGUUCUGUUUAGACGAAUCCAGAUAUUAACAGAUAGCAUUGUUUGGUUGCCAUUGUUUUCUGUCACUGAGUUUCUUGGCUUGAAUGAUGUGUUUUGUAGUCUUUCAUAUCACUGAUCAAGAUGAGAAUAAUCUUAGCGGUGCUGAUGCAAUAACUGAAGAUAUUGAACAGGUAAAUAUUCACAAUUGAUCCUCUUUUCAUCCAAUUUAUAGGUUAUGUCCUGUGCUCAUAUUUCUUAUGCUGAUAUGUUUUGUCCAUUUCAGUUAGUUCAAAGUUAUAUAUACAAUUAUACAUACCUAUAUACAGGCCUUCUCGGCUGUGGACGUCCGCACCGAAGGUUUCGGUGCGGAUUUCCAUUUUUGCACCACUUUCCGAUUGAAUUUCCUCAAACUUCCUUCUAGACAUAUCUAGAUCAUCUUGUGUAGAUCAUCUCUGCAAAAUUUCAGGCAAUUUGGUGAUCGUUAAGGCCCUCAAAAUACGAAAAAACAAAAUGGAGAUGAUGAACCGGACAGAAUUCAGUCCGUCAGAUUUUGUUUUUCGAUUUUUGAGGGCNNNNNNNNNNNNNNNNNNNNAUUUUGCAGAGAUGAUCUACACAAGAUGAUUUAGAUAUGUCUAGAAGGAAGUUUGAGGAAAUUCAAUCGGGAAGUGGUGCAAAAAUGGAAAUCCGCACCAAAACUUUGGUGCGGACGUCCGCACCUGAGAAAGGCUGUACCUAUAUAUAUAUAUUCAGUUUAUAAGCAGUAGCUGGAUUUAACCAGAGACAGAAGUAGUCGAAAACAUAAGCAUACAAAAUCCAAAUAGCACAGGACAAUUGCAUAAAGAUGAAAAGUUGAGCAAGACAUAGAAAAUUGCUUCUAAAACCACAUUUUUCAAUUUCCACGCUCAUUAUUUGAGUUUAAUUUUAUUUUCUUUUACCUCAUUUUUCUGCAUUUAUGCUACUACUACUGGUUCUGGAGACUUCUUAGGAGGUGACUCCAUCCAUAAUUCUUCAUCAGGACAUGUUUUCAGACUGCUUUAGGACUUAUUGUUUAACAACAAAGUCACAUUACUUUGUACGCCGUUGGUGUUUGUAUGAAUUUUGUUUCUUAUUGUUGCUAUAUUGGUAGUUUACAAGCAUGGUAUUUUUAAUGUCCAUGAGUAGAGUUCAAGAGCUUUGAUUUACAUAAAAAAUAAAUGGCGCUGAGAAAGAUACGAAAUUUGGUGGGAAAAAUGGAGAUCCACGUUCCAAUGUUUGGCUUCUGAUAUUAGUAUGCUGUUUAGGAUUGGCAACCACAAAUCCAGGUCUCAUGACUGGUGGAUCCCCAUGCCAAUUCAUUCAACAAUUGUUCGCGCACUGGGUCACUCCUGUUAGGAUCAACAACUCAUCAUUCUUUUUUAUAAUUAGAUCCAUUUGAAUAUCAUUCUCCCCUUGAAGAUAAUGCCUCAAAAAAUCCUUGAAAUUGAUAAAUGAGUUUCAACUGUUUGUAGGAUGAAGUAUACUAACAUUGAGAUGGAUUAUAUAAUAUACUAAAUUAUAGAGCACUUUGCUUGAUCUUUGACCUUCUUUAGACGUUGAGAUUAGUUAUCAGCUUUAUCUGAUUAUAUACUUGAGCAAAAAACUUUCCGUUUUGUCCAACUAUAUAUUACUGAAGGCUUAUGGAGUAGAGUACGUGAUUACAUAGCCAACUUGAUCUUUGAUAUGUGGGUUUUGACUUGACCAUAGGUUUUAUUAGUUGAAGUUCAUAUCUUGAUUUCUCUUCAGUUCUCUAGAGAAAGAAGCAUAGUACUGAGGUCUCAAGAUCUUUGCAGCUUGGACGUUGGAGUAUUUAUGUAAUGCCACUGGAAGUUGGAUAUUCAGCAACAAUUAUAUAUCAGGGUUUUAAUUGAAACUCUAGAUGUCCGAACUAAUCCAGUUCCAGAGCUAAUUCAUAUCCUUCAGUUGAAUUCUGUUACUUGGAUCAUUAGCUUACAAUCCUCUUCUGCCAACAUGUUUCAUAAUGGGAAACAAAAUCUGUGAAGAAAGACUUACAUACGAAAUUUACGAGAAGAAAGUAAAUUCAAACCUGCAGCACUGCGGGGGGUAGUACCUGGCGUUGAACUAUUGUAUAGUUCUAGCUAUACCAAAACAUACUUCAAGCUUGCAUGAAGCUGCUAAUUAAUAACCUUGGAAUGGGAACUCUAUCUUGAAGAUUUGCCACAUUAGUGUAGUAAGUAGUAACAAACUUUAUGCAUGUUAUAUGCCUCCUCGGUAGAAUGGAUUGCGGUAUGUCCUCAACGUACUAGUCUUUUGCAGGUUGGACAUGGUAGUUUCCGGAAGGAUGGAUGGCAACACUGAGAGUGUCCAAUGUGAAGGAUGACAAGGGUACGGUUCCUUUUGGAAAGCAAUAUAAAGGAUAACAAGGGUACGGUGUCUCAGAAGAGUCUGUCCUGAAAUGCACGUAACUUCUCUUUGUUAUCAUUCAAUGCUGGUGUCUCGAAGAGUCUCCUGAAAUGCACCUAACUUGUACACGCUUUGCUUUGUGUUCAUAAGGCAGCUUAAAGAACUCGUUGGCCACGUCCAGUAUCUUAUGCAGCAAAUUGUCUUCAACCCCGUGAUUGAUCAAGUACGUGGAUUUUUAACCAAUUAUUACUCUGAUACUCAACAUCUCCUACUAUACCCUAACAAAACUAAUAGUCCAAUACUUGCUUGCUUACAUAAGACUGAUAAAAAAAAAUGAAAUUACUCCUGGAAGAACCCGAAUUCUUGGGAAGCCUCUAUGAGUUGCUUUAUCAGUUGAGGUCUGUUGGUUCCAAGUUGCUGAAAAUCAGUGACUGGAAUGAACUCCAAUACAGAGACCUGUGUAUUGCCCGGUCUAGUUCCUGGAGGUAGAAAUUGCUAGUCACUUCUGUUUGAGAUGAGCUUCUCAGACGUGUGAAGCCAAUUUAACUAAGUUAUAAAAAUGGCCUGGAGUUGUAAGUUGAAACUAGUUUACUGCGCUAGUGUAGCCAAAAUCAUAUUCUGUGGAUAUAGGAUGAUGCAUAUAGAAGCAGCUAGUUUAUGUAGGCCGGACAUAUAAAGACUCUUCUCAAUUAUAAGACAAAAAUUAAUCUAACUUCAUAAACUUCACCAUGCUAGGAGAAAAAAAAGUCUUUUUCGUAUUAUUAAACACGAACGUUACAUACGUUUGAAAGAUGAAUCUUGAACAACGGUAGCACAGUGAUGGAGUAUCACGAGAAGAUUGAGGUAGAGGAAGAACUCCACCGCACACUUGUCUGAGGCCAGGGAUUGAUGUAUUCCUCCAAAGUCCAAAUUAUGACAACGGUGUCUCAAACAGUCACUCCAGAAAUGCACCUUCUCUCUCUAGCUUAUGUCAAUGCUGGUGUAUAGUCUACACCUUUGCUUGGCAUCCCAGAAGAGAGCUGCUUUGUCUUCACAAGAAGCUCAAAGAUCACUGGAUACAUGCAAUACUUGGUGUAAAGUGGCCGGGGAAUUGGCUUUUGGAAGUUCUUUAAGUUCUCUUAGCCAUGGGAUUAUACAUGACUACAUUAGUCUAGUGUUGCGAUUGUUGCUUGAUAUUAGAAGUUGAGCAGAUCCUCUGCUCUGGUUGCUCAGAUAGAAACGAUGACACUAGAAUAGACAGAAGUAAUGAAAGGCAGACAAAGCGUCUUAAUUGUAAUGCAAAAUCCAGCUGCAUUAACGCAUUGAUCAAACAACGAAAGUGAAUGGAAUCCCACUUUCGAUUAUUUCAGAUGACUCAUAAUCAUGAAAUUCUAGUCACCGGACCAAACACACUUCAAGCCUGGAUCUUAUGACGAUCGAGGGGUGGUACUCCCGCAUGAGUGUCUUGUACAUAGCUGGGAAGAAAGUCCUUGUAUGCAAAUGAUUUAAACAGUGGAGGGCUGCCGGAGUCCUUAGAUGCUAGUGCUUUUGCAGGCUCAAUAAAGCAGUUGCCGGCAGGAUGGAUGAAGUGGGUUACUGUUGUGCGCGACACCUUUUUGUUGGUCAUAACUCUGUGCUCGGCACUGCUUAGCUUCCCGUUACUGACAAUCUACACAUGAUUAACAAAUUCAGGGCCUAGUGUACAGGUUAAGUCUCAUCAAGGGAAAAAGAACAUUACAGGUUUAAGCUAACGUGAUCAAAGUUGAAAUACAAGAAGCAGAGCUAGAUUUGUUGAUGCACCUUUAGCAUAUGGCCUAUGUUAACCACAAAGCCAUCAGGUUGAGGCUCAACACCCAACCAUUGUCCAUCUUUCAAGACCUGAAGACCAUGAACUUCUUCCCCUUGGAGAAGAAGAGUGAUGAGGUUAAUAUCACUAUGUUUAGGUAAUCCCAAGGUUAAGCUUGGGUCUGGGCAAGCUGGGUAAUAAUUGGCAGCCAUGAGUUGCACUUCGGUAAGUUCAUCCCGGAAAUAUCCGGGUUCAAGUCCCAAGCCUUCACCAAUCAGAUCCAAAAGCAACAUACAAAGCUUCCUCGCUUCCACUGCAUAACCUCCCAUUACCUCCCUGAAAUUCCAGUUGCAAAAAAAGAACAGUGAUGUCUUUAACAAUGUUCUCUGAUAGUAUACACAUCCUAGUAAAGUAGAUGUCUUGGAGGGUGUCUUAGACAUGCAUACCGAUAUUGAGGCGGUUUCUGAGGCCAGGAAUCGAUGUGUUCCGCUAGUGGAUGGCAAGGGUGUCUCAAAGAGUCUCUCCAGAAAUGCACCUUCUCAUUGUCAUAGUCAAUGCUGGUGUAAACUCUAGAUUUUUGCUUAGAAUCUUCAGAAUACAUAACUGCUUUAUCUUCACUAGGCAGCUCAAAGAACUCAUUAGCCACCUUCAAUACCUUACGCAGCACAUCGUCUCCAACCCCAUGAUUGAUCAACUGCAAUUUGACACCCACAUCUCUCCCAUUACACAAUAACAAAGCAAACAAAUUCUGGCUCAAAUAAAAUCGUGGAAAAGAAUUUUGACAUUGCAAGUGUUUCAAACCUGGAAGAAGCCGUAUUCUUGAGAAGCCUCUAUGAUUUGCUUGACCACCUGAGAUCUGUUGGUAGCAAGAUGCUGCAAAUCAAUGACUGGAAUGACCUCCAUUACAGACGCAUCGGUAGUGCCUGGUCUAACCCCUGGGGGUAAUAUGUAGGAUUCAGGUACAACUUUGAAGUCAUGCUGGUUUGAGAUGAGCUUGGUAGCCAUUUUGUCAGAUAUGUGAAGUGGCCUCCUGGGUUUGAACCUUAAGUACUGUGUCUGUGGGUAACGGUUGAUACAGAAGCAGACAAGUAUAAUCGGCAAAUAUGCAGAAUGUGCUUGUCUAGAAUAUAUUUCUGUACUUUGCAGAAAUACAUAGAUUCUUUUCCACUUGUGGACAAAUGUCAGAAAAUAUAUAUAUUCAAAAACCGGAAAAUUAUUCACUGGAUAUGUAAAAUGUAUCAAACUAUUCAUCCCCAUUGAUUGUUACAGAUCUAAUGGUCUAAACUCAGAGUGUAAUUAAUCUUACUAUAAUUUAGGUGGUCACGGUUCCGGGGAUGAGUGAUUUUCCAAUUUUUUGAAUAUAAUCAAUAUAUAUUUCCAUGUACUCCUGAUCUCCUGGAGCAUUAGUACAAUUUCAAAGACUGAUUCAUGAACUGCACUCCUAACUCUCAAGUGACCCCAAAUAUAAAUCUUGGAAGUACUGCAGUUUUAAGUCACUAUAGCAAAUUAACAAACACACUUUUAAGAUUAAUCGAAGUUUACAAGGCGUAACGCUCAAGUGGUGGUACUCCUUGAUGAGUAUCUGUUACAUAGGUGCGAAGAAAAUCCUUGUAAGCAAAAGCUCUGUAGAGUGGAGCACUGGAGUCCUCAGCCAAAAGUGCUUUUGCAGGUUCAAUUUGGCAGUUGAAGGAAGGAUUGAUGUAGCUUGCAACUGUUGUCCUUGAAGACUUUUCGUUUGUCACAACCCUGUGCUCGGCACUGCAUAGCUUCCCAUUGCUGAUAAUCUGUACUUAUGGAUUCACAAUUUCAUAACAAAAUUUUCUUGCAUUUGUACUGAAAAAAGAAGUGAUAUUUAGAUUGCCACCCUUGAAAGAAAAAGGAACUAGUUUGUUGAGUUCACCUGUAAGAUGUGGCCAAUAUUAACUACAAAUGCAUUAGGGACAGGCUGAACAGUUAACCACUGCUCAUCUUUCAAAACCUGAAGUCCAGAAACUUCUCCUUGUAUAAGAAGAGUGAUGAGGUUGACAUCACUAUGUUUAGGUAAUCCCAAGGUUAAGCUUGGAUCUGGGCAUAGUGGGUAAUGAUUUGUAGCCAUUAUUUGCACUUGGCUAAGUUCACCCACAAAAAAGCCAGAUUCAAGUCCUAAUCCUUCAGAAAUGAGAUCCAAAAGACACAAACCCAGCUUCCUCACUUCCACUGAGUAACUCCCAACCACAUCUCUGAAAUUGCGGAUAAUGUGCUUAAAUAAGAUUUAAAGUAGAGACUAAAACCGGAGUAGUUAAUUUCAGUACUAAUAUCGUGUCACGGGGUCUUCCAUUCUCCAACAGUGUUAUAUCAUUUGGUAAAUUAGAAUGGUCAGCCCAGAAUGGUUUAGCUGGUUUCAGAAAAUGUACCGAUAUUGAGGUGGUUUCUGAGGCCAGAAUUGGAUGUGCUCCUCCAGAGGAUGACAAGGGUGUCGCAAAACGUCUCUCCAGUAAUGUACCCGUUCUCUCAUAUAAUCGAUGCUGGUGUAUAAUCUACAGCUUUGCAUAGGAUUUUCGGAAUAUACACUUUCUUUGUCUUCACCAGGCAGCUCGAAGAACUCAUUGGCUACAUUCAAUACCUUAUCCAACAAGGUAUCUGGAACACCAUGAUUGAUCAACUGCAUUAUGUUGAAAUCAUAUAAAUAGUAAGUCAAAUAAAGCCUGUAAACAAAAAUGAAGAAAGGAGAAGGAUCUCAAAUCAACCUGGAAGAAUCCAAAUUCUUGGGCGGCCCUUGUAACUUGCUUAAUCAGUUCUGCUCUAUCAGUACCAAGUUGCAGAAAAUCAAUAACAGGAAUGGUUUCAAAUAUCAAAACUUGUGUAUUGCCGGGUCUAGUUUCCGGGGGUAAUAUGUAAAGUUGAGGUACAGAUUGCAAGUUACUUCUAUGUGAGAUGAGCUUCUCCAUAGUAGUGAGAUUGCAGCUAGUUUACUCAGAUGCAUGUAGUCAAUCUAAGGCAGGAAAAAAGAUGAUAUAAGUAGUGUUUCAAAUUCCAUAAGCAUAUUCGAGUCUGAUAAUGUGACUGCAGGGGUGGUACAGAAACAGACAAGUUAUACUAGAGAAGCUCCAUGAUUAACAUGUAAAGUAGAGGCAGAAAACAAAACAAUCUUGAGGCUAGCUGGAUUAUUUGGUCUUCUUUGGUUGGAUUUUUAGGAGAACAAUUUUCUAAUCAACUAGACCCAUAUAAGAACAAAGCUGAACUUCAAGGGUAUCACUCCCCAUUUGAUACGUUCCCCAGCACAAAGAAAUGUAGAUUUCUAAAAGAGAAAAGGAUUGGAUUUUUUUCUAAAUGUGGAAUGAUUUUGUCUUUGCAUCUUUGUAUCGAUUCAAAUACAGUAAGUAGAAUAAAAUUCAUAGAAGACUAUUAAGUGUCAAACCAUCAUAAACCAAAGCGGCAAAUAAGAAUGUCUUAUUGUUUUAUUCCAUUUGAACUAGUGGAUUAUGAGGAAUAUCUAAGCAUCAUGCAAUCCUUGAGUAGUGGUUUUGAUAUUAGCAACACAACUUGAUUUCCCUGGAGAACUAGGUAAAUUUUUGUCUGGUGCCUUGUAGACGAUUAAGUUGCUUCUAGUACUCCAACACAGUUAAAUUAUAAAUGGAGUAUUGAAAAAUGUGCAUAGCACAUUUGUAUUUACGAAUCUCCAUUUGGAGAAUGAGUACAUCAUAGAAAUGCAUGUCUAUACGAAGGAAAUUCUAACUUGAUUACAUUGCUUAAUGUCAUGCUUGUCUGUUCCUGGAGCAUUAGUAGAACUUCAAGGCUGGAGCUUAUACCGCUCAAGUGGUGGUAAUCCCUCUAGGGUAUCUGUUAUAUAGGUGCUAAGAAAGUCUUUGUAUAUAAAAUCUCUGUAGAGUGGAGUACUGCAGUUCUUAACAAGAAGUGCUUUUGCAGGUUCAAUGUGGCAGUUUCCAGAAGGAUGGAUGAAGCUCGCAACUGACAUCCUCGAAACCUUUCUGUUUGUCACAACUCUGUGCUCUGCACUGCUUAGCUUCCCAUUACUGAUAAUCUGUACUCACAUUCACAAAAUCAUGACUAAUUUUUUUUUUUUUAAAGCUGGAUACUAUUCACUCCCAGAGUCCCAUUUCAUCAUUUUGCACACUCCAAAGUCACUACCUUAUGAUCAUGCAUGAUGAUAAAGUGGGAGGGAUAGUAGCUUUUCCAUUAAUCAAAAUGUUAAGAGAAUAGGAGCCAGCUAGAGUAGUGGAUUCACCUGCAAAGUGUGGCCUAUGUUAACUACCAAGGCAUUAGGGACAGGCUCAACAGCCAACCAUUGCUCAUCUUUGAAGACUUGAAGGCCAUGAACUUGUUCUUGCAGAAGAACAGUUAUGAGAUUUCCAUCACAAUGUUUAAGUAAUCCCAAGGUUAAUGUUGGGUCCGGGCAUGGUGGGUAAUAGCUUAUACCCAUUAUUUGCACUUGGCUAAGUUCACUCUUGAAAAACUCAGAUUCAAGUUCCAAUCCUUCACAGAUCAGAUCCAGAAGACACAAACUCAGCUUCCUCACCUCCACCGAAUAAUUUCCAACCACCUCUCUGAUUAUUAUUUAAGAAGAAAUGAAAAUGUUUGUUAAACAAGAUUUGCUAUAUAGUCGAAAGUGACUUAUAAUUACAUGUUUUUGAUGACCAAAAUUACCGGUAUUUAAUUGGUUUCUGAGGCCAGGCUUGCAGAUGUUCCUCUAAUGGAUGACAAGGGUGUCUCAAUUUUUCUCUCCAGUUAUGUACCUUCCCUUUCUCUCCAGGACAGAAGCUUGCUUUAUCUAUAGAAGGCAGCUCAAAGAACUCAUUGGCCACAUCCAAUAUGUCAUGCAACAAAUUUUCUGGAACUCCGUGAUUGAUCAACUGCGUUGUGUCAAAUACUAGUAUAUAAGUACUAUGAAUAACAGAAUGGAAGAAAUAGAAAGAAUGUCCUACCUGGAAGAAUCCAAAUUCUUGGGCAGCAUCUAUGAUUUGCUUAAUCAGCUGUGGUCUGUCUGUACCAAGUUGCUGAAAAUCAAUAACAGGAAUGUCCUCCAUUACAGAAACUUGUGCAUUUCCGGGUCUAGUUUCCGGGGGUAAGAUGAAAGAUUCAGGUACAUCUUGCAAAUCACUUCUGCUUGAGAUGAGCUUCUCCAUUUCCCAAAUAAAGUGCAGUUUAACCAAGUGAAAUUAUCCUUGGAUUUCCAGCUGCUUUAACUAAGCAUAUUCCUUUCAUAAUGUGGCUACUCAGAUGCAGAUAAGAAUUUUUUGGAUGAGCAGACAAACAGGUCAUUGUUAUGAAAUUGAUCAGAUGAAUACAAAAUGUUGUGAGCUGGCCAAACAAGAAGUAAUCCUUUUCCCCUGAUUCUUUUAUUCAUUUGUGGUGCAAAAACAAAGAACUAGAGUAAAUAAGAACAAAGGUGACUAUGAGGGAAUCCAGAACAUUGGAUCCUUUUCUUAGUAGCCAUGAUAUAGAAGUUCAUUGGACAUCCAUGAAUAACAACACCAUUUCUUUCAUUACCAGCACUAUGCUUCCUCCCUUGCAUAUGCUCUCUUUUCACUUUAUGUUGUUCAUUUCAUCUUUGACAGGAAAAAGGAAAA